Molecule: ribosomal RNA, 283 nt
Filed under: Vibrio parahaemolyticus
Lineage: Bacteria; Pseudomonadati; Pseudomonadota; Gammaproteobacteria; Vibrionales; Vibrionaceae
Description: partial 23S ribosomal RNA
Rfam family: Bacterial large subunit ribosomal RNA
Source: RNAcentral
AUUGUAAGGAAUCGUACCCCAAACCGACACAGGUGGUCGGGUAGAGAAUACCAAGGCGCUUGAGAGAACUCGGGUGAAGGAACUAGGCAAAAUGGUACCGUAACUUCGGGAGAAGGUACGCUCUUGAUGGUGAAGUCCCUUGCGGAUGGAGCUGACGAGAGUCGCAGAUACCAGGUGGCUGCAACUGUUUAUUAAAAACACAGCACUGUGCAAAAUCGUAAGAUGACGUAUACGGUGUGACGCCUGCCCGGUGCCGGAAGGUUAAUUGAUGGGGUUAGACUUC